This 319-nucleotide ribosomal RNA is filed under the name uncultured Sphingomonas sp. RNAcentral's name for it is "bacterial SSU rRNA". It matches the Rfam family "Bacterial small subunit ribosomal RNA", at positions 1 to 346 of the family's 1533-position model. Lineage: Bacteria; Pseudomonadati; Pseudomonadota; Alphaproteobacteria; Sphingomonadales; Sphingomonadaceae. The record is from RNAcentral.
UUCGCCCUUAGAGUUUGAUCCUGGCUCAGAACGAACGCUGGCGGCAUGCCUAACACAUGCAAGUCGAACGAAGGCUUCGGCCUUAGUGGCGCACGGGUGCGUAACGCGUGGGAAUCUGCCCUUAGGUUCGGAAUAACAGCUGGAAACGGCUGCUAAUACCGGAUGAUAUCGCGAGAUCAAAGAUUUAUCGCCUGAGGAUGAGCCCGCGUUGGAUUAGGUAGUUGGUGGGGUAAAGGCCUACCAAGCCGACGAUCCAUAGCUGGUCUGAGAGGAUGAUCAGCCACACUGGGACUGAGACACGGCCCAGACUCCUACGGGA